Non-coding RNA from Phrynosoma platyrhinos (Desert horned lizard), 73 nucleotides. NCBI's taxonomy places the organism in Eukaryota, Metazoa, Chordata, Lepidosauria, Squamata, Phrynosomatidae. The record is from the annotation of a GenBank genome assembly.
GUCAGGGUGGACCAGUGGUUUGAAUGUUGUACUAGAAUUCCAGAAGACCAGGGUUUGAAUCCCCUCUCAGUCA